Molecule: ribosomal RNA, 208 nt
Filed under: uncultured bacterium
Lineage: Bacteria
Description: partial 16S ribosomal RNA
Rfam family: Bacterial small subunit ribosomal RNA
Source: RNAcentral
UGCGUAGGUGGUGAGGUAAGUCGGAUGUGAAAGCUCCGAGCUCAACUCGGAAAUGGCAUUGGAAACUACCUUGCUCGAGGGUUUGAGGGGGGACUGGAAUACUUGGUGUAGCAGUGAAAUGCGUAGAUAUCAAGUAGAACACCAGUGGCGAAGGCGAGUCCCUGGAAAACUCCUGACACUGAGGCACGAAAGCUAGGGGAGGCAAACA